UACGUAUGGUGCAAGCGUUAUCCGGAUUUACUGGGUGUAAAGGGAGCGCAGGCGGCACGGCAAGCCUGAUGUGAAAGCCCGCGGCCCAACCGCGGGACUGCAUUGGGAACUACCGGGCUGGAGUGCCGGAGAGGUAGGCGGAAUUCCUAGUGUAGCGGUGAAAUGCGUAGAUAUUAGGAGGAACACCAGUGGCGAAGGCGGCCUACUGGACGGUGACUGACGCUGAGACUCGAAAGCGUGGGGAGCAAACAGG
Molecule: ribosomal RNA, 253 nt
Filed under: uncultured bacterium
Lineage: Bacteria
Description: partial 16S ribosomal RNA
Rfam family: Bacterial small subunit ribosomal RNA
Source: RNAcentral